RNAcentral lists this transfer RNA (89 nucleotides) under Burkholderiales bacterium. RNAcentral's name for it is "tRNA-Leu". It matches the Rfam family "tRNA". From Rfam's summary of the family: Transfer RNA (tRNA) molecules are approximately 80 nucleotides in length. Their secondary structure includes four short double-helical elements and three loops (D, anti-codon, and T loops). RNAcentral also lists the same sequence under 6 other names. Lineage: Bacteria; Pseudomonadati; Pseudomonadota; Betaproteobacteria; Burkholderiales. The record is from RNAcentral.
GCCCGGAUGGCGAAAUUGGUAGACGCAAGGGACUUAAAAUCCCUCGACCGGCAACGGUCAUGCCGGUUCGAUUCCGGCUCCGGGCACCA